Molecule: non-coding RNA, 192 nt
Organism: Aegilops tauschii subsp. strangulata
Lineage: Eukaryota; Viridiplantae; Streptophyta; Magnoliopsida; Poales; Poaceae
Source: RefSeq, a predicted model, not a curated record
GUGAUCCCUUCAGCUCCAAUGAUGAACUUUGUGCGUGCCCAGAUCAAGAAAGCAGCUGAUGAGACCGAGACUAUUCUGGAAACAACCCCGGCUGGCAAAAGCGAUGGGGAAGGUGCACUUCGAGCAUUCAUUAAGCGCCAGGGCCAAAAGUUAAGGCGGCUAUCAAACCUUUUAGGUUGUCGUGACCCCGAG